RNAcentral lists this ribosomal RNA (625 nucleotides) under Ganoderma australe. Its description in RNAcentral is "eukaryotic LSU rRNA". The stretch from base 261 to 414 matches the Rfam family "5.8S ribosomal RNA". The record is from RNAcentral. Lineage: Eukaryota; Fungi; Basidiomycota; Agaricomycetes; Polyporales; Polyporaceae.
UGGAAGUAAAAAAUCGUAACAAGGUUUCCGUAGGUGAACCUGCGGAAGGAUCAUUAUCGAGUUCUGACUGGGUUGUAGCUGGCCUUCCGAGGCAUGUGCACGCCCUGCUCAUCCACUCUACACCUGUGCACUUACUGUGGGUUUACGGGUCGUGAAACGGGCUCGUUUAUUCGGGCUUGUUGAGCGCACUUGUUUCCUGCGUUUAUCACAAACUCUAUAAAGUAUCAGAAUGUGUAUUGCGAUGUAACGCAUCUAUAUACAACUUUCAGCAACGGAUCUCUUGGCUCUCGCAUCGAUGAAGAACGCAGCGAAAUGCGAUAAGUAAUGUGAAUUGCAGAAUUCAGUGAAUCAUCGAAUCUUUGAACGCACCUUGCGCUCCUUGGUAUUCCGAGGAGCAUGCCUGUUUGAGUGUCAUGAAAUCUUCAAUCUACAAACUUCUUAUGGGGUUUGUAGGCUUGGACUUGGAGGCUUGUCGGUCCCUUUACAGGUCGGCUCCUCUUAAAUGCAUUAGCUUGGUUCCUUGCGGAUCGGCUUGUCGGUGUGAUAAUGUCUACGCCGCGACCGUGAAGCGUGUUUGGGCGAGCUUCUAACCGUCUCGUUACAGAGACAACUUUUAUGACCUCUG